CCUUUUACAUACCAAAAGGUUCAUUUUAUGAGGACAAAGAUAAUUUGGUGUGCCUAAUGUCUCGUAGAGGAGAGCUGAUUUCAGCCCAGUAUGAACUACGAUAUCCAUUUGCCCGAUUUGUUGCCCGCAACGAGAUCAAGUACAUGAGAAGAUACUGCAUAGAUCGUGUUCAGCGUGCUUACAAAGUUUGUGGUGUUCAUCCUAAGGAAUGUUAUGAGUGUGCUUUGAACAUUAUAUCAUCAGGGAGGCCUCAGAAUCUGCAGCAAGAGUGAUGCUAGUAACGCAUGAUCUGAUACAACAAAUAAUUCAAGAACGUACACAGGAUAUCAAGAUUAGUGUAGGACACAUGGGACUAGUACAUGUUAUUCUAAAGCACUGUGGAAUUGAUGAAUCCCUUCACAAUAAACUUAUUAUACUCCUGAAGGAAUGGAAUGGAAAACGGAUGACUUUUGAAAGUCUUGGGGAAUGGUUGCGGGACCUUGGGGUUGCUCGAUCAUCUGCAGAAAGUCUAAAAGGAUUUCUGGUUUUAGAUGGACCUGUGGAGGAAGUCAUAAAGUCUUUUAAAGACAAAGGGCUGACAUCUCGCCAUAGAGGUUUAUACCACUUGUAAAACAAAUUAUAUCUGAAAUUGAAGAUAUUACAGAAACUGCUUUCACAUUAGGAGUAAAAUAUUGUGUUCAACUUAAACCUAUGAUGGUGGC
This is a long non-coding RNA of Macrobrachium nipponense, 701 nucleotides long. RefSeq lists it as uncharacterized. The transcript has 3 exons. The record is from RefSeq and is a predicted model, not a curated record. Lineage: Eukaryota; Metazoa; Arthropoda; Malacostraca; Decapoda; Palaemonidae.